This 450-nucleotide ribosomal RNA is filed under the name uncultured bacterium. Its description in RNAcentral is "bacterial SSU rRNA". It matches the Rfam family "Bacterial small subunit ribosomal RNA", at positions 354 to 796 of the family's 1533-position model. The record is from RNAcentral.
GUGGGGAAUCUUCCGCAAUGGACGAAAGUCUGACGGAGCAACGCCGCGUGAGUGAAGACGGCCUUCGGGUUGUAAAGCUCUGUUAUACGGGACGAACGGGCGAGGGGCUAAUACCCUCUUGUCGUGACGGUACCGUAAGAGAAAGCCACGGCUAACUACGUGCCAGCAGCCGCGGUAAUACGUAGGUGGCAAGCGUUGUCCGGAAUUAUUGGGCGUAAAGGGUGCGCAGGCGGUCUCUUAAGUCUGUCUUAAAAGUGCGGGGCUUAACCCCGUGAGGGGACGGAAACUGGGAGACUGGAGUAUCGGAGAGGAAAGCAGAAUUCCUAGUGUAGCGGUGAAAUGCGUAGAUAUUAGGAGGAAUACCAGUGGCGAAAGCGGCUUUCUGGACGACAACUGACGCUGAGGCACGAAAGCCAGGGGAGCGAACGGGAUUAGAAACCCCAGUAGUCC